Molecule: long non-coding RNA, 1990 nt
Organism: Helianthus annuus (common sunflower)
Lineage: Eukaryota; Viridiplantae; Streptophyta; Magnoliopsida; Asterales; Asteraceae
Exons: 3
Source: RefSeq, a predicted model, not a curated record
AUAAUCUAUAUAUGAUAAAAAGGAAAGCGAAUAAACAGUGAUUUUUUAUUAUUAUUAAAUUAAAAUUAUUAGUAUCAGUGUCUGUCAUACAUGUCUUACCCAUUUACAUGUGUUUUGAUGUUUCAGCUCCUCAUCUUCCACCUCACCUGCCCUUCUCACAAAAGAUACGCAGCCAAAAAGAAAGAGAAACAGGAGAAAGGUAUUAGAGAUAGAGAACAUAGAGAGAAAGAUAUGCGGAAGAUUUAGCGAGCCCAGAGCCGGUGAGUCUCCGGCAACCGGCCCCCACACGGCGACUUCCGACGAGCCUAGGGUUCAGGUGUGAACCAUGAUGACGGCGAUGUGGUGAAUCUGCUUCAAAAACCCCGUCUUGCUUCACCACUCCAGAUUUGAUGACAAUGACGGCGGUCAACCGGCUAGGUUCCGGAAGGUUCCGACAAUUUCUGGUUAGCCCUUUUCUCUUGCAUGUUCACUAUUUGGUUGGGCCGGUUGCCCAUGAUCCUUUAUCUGGCGAGUCAUGUUGAUCUGAUGAGUAGGUAACCUCCGGUGAGGUUCCGGUGCCGCUAGGUCUCUGUUGUUCGCCAUCACACUGCACAUUCAGACUUCGUCUUGGCCGCCGCAAGUAAAAGGUGAGAGAGAGAGAGAGAAGCAAGUAGGCGGUGGUCGUUUUGAAGUUCUUCGGGUCCGGCGAGAAGGAGAGCUGCAACAGCAGCUAUGAUUUUAAGUAGGGGUUCAUUUUCCCCCAUCGGUUCAGCUCGGCCAGAACCGAUGAUGAUGAAAUGGCGGUGAUCACUUCUGUAAUUAACUCCAACAAGAUCGAAGACCAUCAUUCUCAUCCUCCAUUUACAAAAGUGAGAAACUAAAUGAGAGAGAAACAGGAGAAAGAGAGAGAACAGUAAGAUAGAGAGAGAUCCGGAACGGUGAGCCUCUGGUAACCGUCCGGGAUGUAGAAACUGUUGGUGGUGUCGGUUUAGAGGUUGUAGUGGUGAGCUCCAUGAAGAUUCAGAGGGUUCGGUUCAGAGGUAACAGUGAUGAGUUCCGACGAGUCUUAAGGUUCCGUCGUGAAUCAUGAUCACAGUGGUGCCGACCACCUGGUCUUUUACAUAAUAGGCUUGCAAGUGGCUUCUUUUAGUUUGUAGUUAGAUUAGUUAGAUCUUCAAGAUAUCGGGUGACUUAUUGGAGAGAGGUAUUGGCUUGAGCCGUAGUAUUACCGGAGUUAUGGGGAAUUGGCGUGAUAUUCGAGUCUGGAUAGAUUAUUGGUUCGAAUAAGAACCUCUAGCUUAUAAAUUCUCGGGGUUCUUUAGUUUAGAAAGUAAAAAAGAAUUGCAGCAUAACAAAAAGACUUAAGAUGGAACCAAGUGGGUCCAAAUGGAUGUGGGCCUCGUCUAGACCGCCUAAUGCUUGGUCGGAAGAAAAGGAGCUGAGACAGCUGGAUGUUUUGAAGCAGGCAAUUGUGUUUGGGCUGGGUGAAGACAACUGGCUCUGGGCACGAUAACGCAAGGGGUUUUUCCAUGCGCCUGCCAAUAGAAAUAUGCGGUAUAGUUCAGUGCUUUGCCUGGUAUGUGGCGAGUAUAGAGACUCGGUGUAACACGUGUUCGUAUCAUGUUUCUUUAGUCAAAAGGUGUGACAAAUUGUUUACAAAUGGUGUAAGCUCCAACAAUUUCUGCCAUCCAAGUUGGUGACCUAUUUGAUAUGCACAAAGUCUUUCCAGUUCUCAAAGAAGAAAGAAGCCGCCUUUGCUGGUAAAAGUUAUAGAAGAGGUCAAGGUUCUCGGCUACUUAUGGAUCCGGAACCGGUCAAAGGCCGUCGCUCUAACCUGGGAGGAUUGGAAAUUGUUUAAAGUGUAAUUUUGGCCGAUAAGUUUGCUGGUAUGUAGAGUGUAUUCUCUGGUGGAAACAUGUGUAAUAUUUGGUGAUUUGGGUUUAGCGCUUUGCUUUCCCAUGCGAAUAAUAUAACUUUUUGUUUGUUUAGAAAAAAGUUUUUAUGUUUUUAA